GACGAACGCUGGCGGCGUGCUUAACACAUGCAAGUCGAGCGGAAAGGCCCUUCGGGGUACUCGAGCGGCGAACGGGUGAGUAACACGUGAGCAACCUGCCCUUAGCUCCGGGAUAGCUCCGGGAAACCGGAAUUAAUACCGGAUAUGACCACGGCCGACAUCUGCCAUGGUGGAAAGGAUUCCGGCUAAGGAUGGACUCGCGGCCUAUCAGCUAGUUGGUGGAGUAACGGCCCACCAAGGCGACGACGGGUAGCCGGCCUGAGAGGGCGA
Molecule: ribosomal RNA, 270 nt
Filed under: uncultured bacterium
Lineage: Bacteria
Description: partial 16S ribosomal RNA
Rfam family: Bacterial small subunit ribosomal RNA
Source: RNAcentral